GUCAAUGGUGGCGCCGAGCUUGCCGCCUGAUGUCACGAGCUUGUUAAUGGCGGCUCCGAGCUCGUCAACGGUGGUUCAGAAUUCGUCUCAUGUUGCUUCGAACUCGUUAAUGGCGGCUUCAAGCUCAUCUCCUGUUGUUACGAGCUCGUCGAUGGCGGAUCCAAGUUCGCCUCCUGAUGUUCCGAGCUCGUCGAUGGCAGCUCCGAGCUCACCUCCUGAUGUCCCGAGCUCGUCGAUGGCGGCUCCGAGCUCACCUCCUGAUGUCCCGAACUCGUCAAUGGCGGCUCCGAGCUUGUCAAUGUUGGCUCUGAGUUCGUCUCCUGUUGCUCCACACUCGUUAGUGGCGAUUCCAAGCUCAUCUCCUGUUGCUCCGAACUCGUCGAUGGUGGCUUCGAGUUCGAUCUCGUCUGUUGCUGCUUCGGAUCCUUUGUCGAUGAAAGAGUGUGGUCUGGAUGCGGAGGGCACGAGCUUGCCAUUGGUGGGGACGAGCUCGGCUUUUGUUUCAAGCUCGUCUGUUCCUAGCUCAUUUCUUGGUUCGAGCUUGUCGCUUGCUGUCCCAAGCUUGCCGUUGUCGAUAGAGCCGUGUCGCGGUGAGGUGGGGUUGAGCUCGUCGUCUACUGGUUCGAGCCCGUCUCUCAUUCCGAACUUAUCUUCUGUUGUGCCAAGCAUGCCGUCGGUGAUGGAAAAGUCGGAGCUGAGUUCGUCGAUUGGUAUGCCGUUGGAUGGGAAGGUUGCUUGUGAGCAGCUGUCUUUGUUAGUUCGUAAGAUGGAGCUUGCUGAUGGCCGCAAGUCGUGGUCGGAGAUUGCCGAAUCUGUCAUUGUUGUUGAGUUAGGUACUCUUACGGGAAGUGAAGCAGAAGACAGGGUAAGCGCGAGUUUGAUCGAGGAAGGGACCAGGUUUCUUUUUGAUGAGCACAGGACAAAUUUGGUGGCGGAGCCUGGUGUUGGAGGGUCGAAGUUGUCUUUGAAAACGCUUCCUGUUGUCUCGAGUUAGUCAUCUUUGGUGAAGAAGACUAUGUUGGAAACUGUUUGGGAACAUGAGUAGAUGCAGUUGGCGAAAUCCUCUCGAGCGAGAGAGUCGUCGUCGAAAACUACGAGUUCCUCUGAUGGUAGUUCGCACUCGAGUUCUCAUAGUGAGGAAUCUGUGGAUGGUGCUGAUAGUGAAUUUGAUAAUGCCGCUGGAGAUGAUAGACGAGAUGAUGAUGUUGAAAACGUUGAUGUUGAAGAUGAUGGUGCUCUGGGAGACGCCGAUGAUAAGCAGAAUGGAACCAGUGACGUUAAUGUUGGUGAGGAAAGUGAGCAAGAAAAGUUUGCUAGUGACGGUGAUUAUGAUGCUGUUGGAGAUGAUGAGAUGGGUGACCAAGAUGGUUUUGAUGAACGUAGUGAUUUUAGUGGUGAGUGUGAUGAUUUUAGUGAUGAGCAGGAUAGUUUUAGUGGUGAGCAAAGCGGUGUUAGUGGUAGUCUAGGAAUCGCUGUUGUAGGCGAUGAGAGGGAUGAUGCCGAUGGAGGCAGUGAUCGUCGAGCCAACGUUAUCGAUAUUUUGAGAAAAAUAAAACAAGAAAGCUUGGCUGCCUCCCAUGCUGAUUCGCUUGAUGCCUUUGGUGAUCCUUGUGGCUAUGUGAAGAAGAAGAAAACGAGGGUUAGGAAGGCGAGGGAAAGGCCUAGGAGUUUCAUAGGUCCUCUUGUUAAUCAUCCGGAUCCAUCGGAGUCAUUUCCUUCUAUUGUUGAUGAUGAUACAAUCAAGUGGAUCUCAGCCAACUGUUGUUGUAAUGGCGUCAUAAAAGCGCGUAUUCCCGGCGAGGAUGAACGUCCGUGGACGGUUCCGGAUGGGUGGCUUUGUGUUUAUGACUUCUGGUUCACCGAGUAUCAUUUGUGGUUUCCCCUCCCGAGGUUGCUGCUGGCGUAUUGUGAUGAUCAUCUUAUUGCACUGGCUCAACUUACUCCUGCUGCAAUUCGAAAUAUAGUUGCGGCUCUGUUCACGGCCACGGAUAUUGGUGUUCACAUGAGCCUAUGUUUGUUUGAACGUAUAGCGCAUAUUACUCGGUGUGAUAAGACGGAUGGGGCUUUUUAUGUGUCUAUGAAGACUGGCUGUGGUGCUGUAAGGGAGAGGAAGAGAAAAACUUUAUGUUGGAUUAAGAAGUUUUUUUAUGUUCGAAUUGCAACUUCGCCGGUUCCUGAUGUUUCUGAUAUGAGUGCCCCUUUUAGGAGUAGUUGGAAAUCUUACAAUGGUCGUCACUUAGUUGGUGUUCCUCUUGCUCCUGGUGAUAGUGAGUGCGUGGACUACUUUAAGGCCUGGCGGUCGGAGGUUUGGCAGUGCAUUCCGUUUAUUGACUCAGCUUGUUGGAGGAAGAUGGAUUUGAGCGAGAUUCCGAGUUUGGUUGACUGUUUUGCUGGAGGUAGUGCCGAUGCUUCUGUUGUUUAGUCUGGUACCCCCGGUGUGGAACUUUUGACAUCUGCUCGUAAUAUUGUUAUGGGUCUUACUAGCACGACAUCUCCUGUACCGCCCACUGGUGUUUCUGGAAGGGAGGUUGUUGUUGCUGGCAGUGAGAAGGUUGUGAAGAAAAGAGCUGCCGCUGGUCAUUCAUCCAAGGACGCGCCGGCUUCGAAAUCUUGCAAAGUUGCGAGCUCUGAUGUUGAGCUGCCUUCGGUGGUUGAGUUGCCUGCUGCGGAGAAGGCUACGUUUGAACCGUUUGAGCAUUCGUUCAACGGUUUGUCCUCGGGAUGUGGUGAUCUUUUCAAGUUGUUUCAAUCACCUGGUGGUGUUGAUGGUUUGCCUUUUGACCAAGUUAGGCGUGGUGAGUGGUAUCAAGAGUUCGCUCGUCACUUGGCCAUUAUGAGGAGCUUGAAGAGGUGAAGGCGGAGCUUG
This is an RNA transcript of Brassica oleracea var. oleracea, 2866 nucleotides long. RefSeq lists it as uncharacterized. NCBI's taxonomy places the organism in Eukaryota, Viridiplantae, Streptophyta, Magnoliopsida, Brassicales, Brassicaceae. The transcript has 4 exons. The record is from RefSeq and is a predicted model, not a curated record.